UACGUAGGGUGCGAGCGUUGUCCGGAAUUAUUGGGCGUAAAGGGCUCGUAGGCGGUUUGUCGCGUCGGGAGUGAAAACCUUGGGCUUAACUCAGGGCUUGCUUUCGAUACGGGCAGACUAGAGGUAUGCAGGGGAGAACGGAAUUCCUGGUGUAGCGGUGAAAUGCGCAGAUAUCUGGAGGAACACCGGUGGCGAAGGCGGCGUUCUGGACUGCAACUGACACUGAGGAACGAAAGCCAGGGGAGCAAACGGG
Molecule: ribosomal RNA, 253 nt
Filed under: uncultured bacterium
Lineage: Bacteria
Description: partial 16S ribosomal RNA
Rfam family: Bacterial small subunit ribosomal RNA
Source: RNAcentral